RNAcentral lists this ribosomal RNA (254 nucleotides) under uncultured bacterium. RNAcentral describes it as "partial 16S ribosomal RNA". It matches the Rfam family "Bacterial small subunit ribosomal RNA", at positions 524 to 776 of the family's 1533-position model. The record is from RNAcentral.
UACAGAGGGUGCGAGCGUUGUCCGGAAUCACUGGGCGUAAAGGGCGCGUAGGCGGUCCGGUAAGCGUGCGGUGAAAGCCCGGGGCUCAACCCCGGGUCGGCCGUGCGGACUGCGGGACUGGAGCCGAUCAGAGGCAGGCAGAAUUCCGGGUGUAGCGGUGGAAUGCGUAGAGAUCCGGAAGAACACCGGUGGCGAAGGCGGCCUGCUGGGGUCUUGGCUGACGCUGAGGCGCGACAGCGUGGGGAGCAAACAGG